GCGUUUUGUUUAAAUUUUCUACGGCCUGUGUGUUUGUGUCUCUGAGUCUGCGACUUAGCUGCUUGUGUGGUUUGAUUUUGAUGCAUGGCUCUGAUGUGGUUCGAUUUUGUUUGGUGUUUUGAAAACAAAGAUGGAUCGGUACCAGAGAGUGGAGAAGCCAAGAGCAGAGACGCCAAUUGAUGAGAAUGAGAUUAGGAUUACGAGCCAAGGGAGGAUGCGAAACUACAUCACUUACGCCAUGACUCUGCUUCAGGACAAGGGUUCGGACGAAAUUGUUUUCAAGGCUAUGGGAAGAGCUAUCAACAAGACUGUGACGAUUGUGGAGCUAAUUAAGAGAAGAAUUGUCGGUCUUCACCAGUAUACUACAAUUGGAUCCACCGACAUAACUGAUACUUGGGAACCCCUUGAGGAAGGCCUUCUACCCUGGUGCGUGCUUUAGGUGGAGUUGUAGCGUCGUCUUCGCUUUUGGGGGUUUCUUGUUUCUCUAGGUGCGUGCUUUAUAAUUGAACUUCUUCUCUAGUUUCUCUAGUCACAAAUGACAUCUCCUCAGUUAGGAAGCACUUCCAUUAAUUGUUAAUUUACCUUGCUUUUAGAAGGAUUCAGUUACAACAAUCUUGUUUUCAAUUCCAGUUUGUGUUCUGUGGUGUUGAAAGUUGGAGAGAGAUCGAUUGAUAUGGGAAUGAAGAUACAAGGAUGCUAGUAAGACUUCAUUCAAGUCCUCAACUCGGUUAGUAUAUGAUGCAAGACUACCCAAAAACUUGGGAAGAUCAGAGAUGCUCAAGCUUCAAUCAAAUUUUGUACAAGUACUUUCACUUUUUGUUAGACUAGUCUGUAGCACUUAAAUGCAGAUAUGAAACUAUCUAAACAAUGGAUAUGUUAAUUCCUGUGUUGGGAUGAAAUAGUUUUUGGAAUUAA
This is an RNA transcript of Rosa rugosa (rugosa rose), 915 nucleotides long. RefSeq lists it as uncharacterized. Lineage: Eukaryota; Viridiplantae; Streptophyta; Magnoliopsida; Rosales; Rosaceae. The record is from RefSeq and is a predicted model, not a curated record. The transcript has 5 exons.